This 238-nucleotide ribosomal RNA is filed under the name uncultured bacterium. Its description in RNAcentral is "partial 16S ribosomal RNA". It matches the Rfam family "Bacterial small subunit ribosomal RNA", at positions 96 to 334 of the family's 1533-position model. The record is from RNAcentral.
CGGCGGACGGGUGAGUAACGCGUGGGUAACCUGCCUCAUACAGGGGGAUAACAGUUGGAAACGGCUGCUAAUACCGCAUAAGCGCACAGUACCGCAUGGUACGGUGUGAAAAACUCCGGUGGUGUGAGAUGGAUCCGCGUCUGAUUAGCCAGUUGGCGGGGUAACGGCCCACCAAAGCGACGAUCAGUAGCCGACCUGAGAGGGUGACCGGCCACAUUGGGACUGAGACACGGCCCAA